RNAcentral lists this ribosomal RNA (485 nucleotides) under uncultured Vexilliferidae. RNAcentral's name for it is "partial Bacterial large subunit ribosomal RNA". It matches the Rfam family "Bacterial large subunit ribosomal RNA", at positions 671 to 1154 of the family's 2925-position model. Lineage: Eukaryota; Discosea; Flabellinia; Dactylopodida; Vexilliferidae. The record is from RNAcentral.
GCGAAAGCGAGUCUUAAUAGGGCGUCGAGUUCGUGGGAUCAGACCCGAAACCGAGUGAUCUAGGCAUGACCAGGAUGAAGGUGCGGUAACACGCACUGGAGGACCGAACCCACGUCUGUUGAAAAAGACGGGGAUGACCUGUGGCUAGGGGUGAAAGGCCAAUCAAACUCGGAAAUAGCUGGUUCUCCGCGAAAUCUAUUUAGGUAGAGCGUCGACCGAAUACCCUCGGGGGUAGAGCACUGGAUGGGCUAGGGGGUCUCACCGACUUACCAAACCUAACCAAACUCCGAAUACCGGCGAGUACAGCACGGCAGACAGUCCAUGGGUGCUAAGGUCCGUGGACGAGAGGGAAACAGCCCAGACCUCCAGCUAAGGCCCCCAAGUGGCGGCUAAGUGGGAAAGGAUGUGGGAAGGCCAAGACAACCAGGAGGUUGGCUUAGAAGCAGCCAUCCUUUAAAGAAAGCGUAAUAGCUCACUAGUCGAGU